UACGUAGGGUGCGAGCGUUAAUCGGAAUUACUGGGCGUAAAGCGUGCGCAGGCGGUGAUGUAAGACAGUUGUGAAAUCCCCGGGCUCAACCUGGGAAUUGCAUCUGUGACUGCAUCGCUAGAGUACGGUAGAGGGGGAUGGAAUUCCGCGUGUAGCAGUGAAAUGCGUAGAUAUGCGGAGGAACACCGAUGGCGAAGGCAAUCCCCUGGACCUGGUACUGACGCUCAUGCACGAAAGCGUGGGGAGCAA
Molecule: ribosomal RNA, 249 nt
Filed under: uncultured bacterium
Lineage: Bacteria
Description: partial 16S ribosomal RNA
Rfam family: Bacterial small subunit ribosomal RNA
Source: RNAcentral